GACGAACGCUGGCGGCGCGCCUAACACAUGCAAGUCGAACGAGCGAGCGAGAGCUUGCUUUCUUGAGCGAGUGGCGAACGGGUGAGUAACGCGUGAGGAACCUGCCUCAAAGAGGGGGACAACAGUUGGAAACGACUGCUAAUACCGCAUAAGCCCACGGUGCCGCAUGGCACCAAGGGAAAAGGAGCAAUCCGCUUUGAGAUGGCCUCGCGUCCGAUUAGCUAGUUGGUGAGGUAACGGCCCACCAAGGCGACGAUCGGUAGCCGGACUGAGAGGUUGAACGGCCACAUUGGGACUGAGACACGGCCCAGACUCCUACGGGAGGCAGCAGUGGGGAAUAUUGCACAAUGGGGGAAACCCUGAUGCAGCGACGCCGCGUGGAGGAAGAAGGUCUUCGGAUUGUAAACUCCUGUUGUUGGGGAAGAUAAUGACGGUACCCAACAAGGAAGUGACGGCUAACUACGUG
RNAcentral lists this ribosomal RNA (466 nucleotides) under uncultured bacterium. RNAcentral describes it as "partial 16S ribosomal RNA". It matches the Rfam family "Bacterial small subunit ribosomal RNA", at positions 28 to 507 of the family's 1533-position model. The record is from RNAcentral.